This 1346-nucleotide ribosomal RNA is filed under the name uncultured bacterium. Its description in RNAcentral is "bacterial SSU rRNA". It matches the Rfam family "Bacterial small subunit ribosomal RNA", at positions 28 to 1381 of the family's 1533-position model. The record is from RNAcentral.
GACGAACUUUGGCGGCGUGCUUAACACAUGCAAGUCGAACGGAAAGGCCCUGCUUUUGUGGGGUGCUCGAGUGGCGAACGGGUGAGUAACACGUGAGUAACCUGCCCUUGACUUUGGGAUAACUUCAGGAAACUGGGGCUAAUACCGGAUAGGAGCUCCUGCUGCAUGGUGGGGGUUGGAAAGUUUCGGCGGUUGGGGAUGGACUCGCGGCUUAUCAGCUUGUUGGUGGGGUAGUGGCUUACCAAGGCUUUGACGGGUAGCCGGCCUGAGAGGGUGACCGGCCACAUUGGGACUGAGAUACGGCCCAGACUCCUACGGGAGGCAGCAGUGGGGAAUAUUGCACAAUGGGCGGAAGCCUGAUGCAGCAACGCCGCGUGCGGGAUGACGGCCUUCGGGUUGUAAACCGCUUUCGCCUGUGACGAAGCGUGAGUGACGGUAAUGGGUAAAGAAGCACCGGCUAACUACGUGCCAGCAGCCGCGGUGAUACGUAGGGUGCGAGCGUUGUCCGGAUUUAUUGGGCGUAAAGGGCUCGUAGGUGGUUGAUCGCGUCGGAAGUGUAAUCUUGGGGCUUAACCCUGAGCGUGCUUUCGAUACGGGUUGACUUGAGGAAGGUAGGGGAGAAUGGAAUUCCUGGUGGAGCGGUGGAAUGCGCAGAUAUCAGGAGGAACACCAGUGGCGAAGGCGGUUCUCUGGGCCUUUCCUGACGCUGAGGAGCGAAAGCGUGGGGAGCGAACAGGCUUAGAUACCCUGGUAGUCCACGCUGUAAACGGUGGGUACUAGGUGUGGGGUCCAUUCCACGGGUUCCGUGCCGUAGCUAACGCUUUAAGUACCCCGCCUGGGGAGUACGGCCGCAAGGCUAAAACUCAAAGGAAUUGACGGGGCCCCGCACAAGCGGCGGAGCAUGCGGAUUAAUUCGAUGCAACGCGUAGAACCUUACCUGGGUUUGACAUGGAUCGGGAGUGCCCAGAGAUGGGUGUGCCUCUUUUGGGGUCGGUUCACAGGUGGUGCAUGGCUGUCGUCAGCUCGUGUCGUGAGAUGUUGGGUUAAGUCCCGCAACGAGCGCAACCCUUGUUCACUGUUGCCAGCACGUUAUGGUGGAGACUCAGUGGAGACCGCCGGGGUCAACUCGGAGGAAGGUGGGGAUGACGUCAAGUCAUCAUGCCCCUUAUGUCCAGGGCUUCACGCAUGCUACAAUGGCUGGUACAGAGAGUGGCGAGCCUGUGAGGGUGAGCGAAUCUCGGAAAGCCGGUCUCAGUUCGGAUUGGGGUCUGCAACUCGACCUCAUGAAGUCGGAGUCGCUAGUAAUCGCAGAUCAGCAACGCUGCGGUGAAUACGUUCCCGGGGCU